CUAAACCAUAAUUAUCAGUAUCACUAUUAUGCUUAAAAGUAUAAAUGAAAGCUGAUAAAAAAUUAGUUUACACCUUAAUAUUAAAGUUUGAAGACUUUCAAAUAAAAUUACCUAAAAAUUAUAUUAUUAUUAUGCUUUAAAAUUGACAUUAAUAAAGUGAAAAAAAAAAAAAAUACUUAUUUUAUUAUUUUCUAUUUGUAAAGGUUUAAAUUUCAUAAAAUAUAAGAGAAUUAUCUCCCUUUAAUAUGUCAAAAUUGGCGUAUUAGACAGUUACUGUCCAGGAGAUAUAAUAGAAUUAAAAAAUACUUUUGUGAAGCAGUCAACAGUUCAAAAAAAUGAAACAGGUUAACAUGAUAUGUAUGUUUCAUCUCAAAAAUCAAUACUAAAUCAUGAAAGAGUGUUUCACGAUGAUGACUGAUGUACCCAUAUUCUGACUAUUUUAUUUAUUGUGUCUGUUAAGUUAAAGCAUCAAUGUUAAUAUAACGGAAAUUGAUGAGACUGUUCAUAUUGAGAGGGUUAGCGCUAUAAAACCAGGUUUAAUCCACCAUUUUCUAAUUGAAAAAUGCCUGUUACCAAGUCAGGAAUAUGACAGUUCUUGUCCAUUCGUUUUUGAUGCGUUUUGUUAUUGAUUUUGCCAUGUGAUUAUGGACUUUCCUAAUUGAUUUUCCUCUAAGUUCAGUAUUUUUGUGAUUUACUUUUCACUGAAGAUAAUAAAAAAAAAUUCUAGCUACAGCACACUUACUUGAAAUUUCAAGAUACAAUAUAACAAUGUCUUUUUAUCUUCGGUAAACAAACUUAUUUUCAUACCUUCCUUCUUAUAAUUAUGCUUUUUGAAGCAAAUUUCACAAUUUUUGUUUAACUUUGUUAGUGUAUUCUUUCAGAGAAGGUCAAAGUUUGAUAUAUUGAAACAACAUACAAGUCAGGAAUGUAGUUUUUUACAGCAUCUUUUUGUAGACCAAAUAUUUUCACAUAUGGACUAAACAUCCUACCUAAAACAUAAGUUUAAAUAAAAUUUAUGAUAGACUCAUAGUAUUAAGAUAACUUUUCCGUUUAGUAAUUCCUCUUUCCUAGAAGUUAAUGAAAGAGAUUGGCAUGAAGUAUGUAUUUACAGAUAUAUUUUUGCUAAAAACUCAGGAAAUUUCAAUAUGGUGGAAUGUGUUUAAAGUCAAUAUAAUGAGAGAUUAUUUUUGAUAACUAUCAGAUGGAUUGUAAAUGCAAAAACAAGAAGGUUUGAAAAUGAGAGUAAAGUUACUUCUCACUCUUGUCUUUUUCUUUGGUUCUGAUAUGUUGUUUGGUUGCUGUCUCACUGCUAUUAUGGGUCCCCCAUAUUUGUUAUUCGUUGUAUUUGAGAAAGUAGUUGCUCAAUGUAAUCAUGUCAUGGGACGAAUUGGCAUAUCAAAAAAUGCCUAUAAAUGUUUACUUGCUUUUUUGGUUUAAACUAUGCAACUUUGAUUAAGGAAAUAUCUUUAACUAUUUAGCUGAACUAUAUCUUAUAAUUCAAAACAACUAUAUCUUAUAAUUCAAAACAGUUCUUAAACUGAAUUUAAAAUGAUUUCUCUAAUUUUGUAACACAAUAAUUAUCACAGUUAGUUUCUUGCAUAGAAGAUCAAUAAAUUAAAAAUUAGCAAAAUGCAAAUCACUACACAUUUACAUAUACAAAAUGUACACAUGAUUCAAAAUCAAAGAAUAAAUAUUUUAAAAUUAAUACUGAGAACUUUAUAAUUACAAAGCUAUAAUUCAAAAGUAUAGUACAAAUUCUUCAGUAUCACUGUUCCUCACGGUUUGACAAAAGUUUGCUACCAAGAGGGUAGUAAACAAAUAAAGUAAUCAACCUCAAAUCUGCAUAGACAAUAUAAUAAUCCAGAUAGAAAUUACAACACAAUAAUACAUACUAGUAUUUACAAAUGUCAAUCAUAUAAAAAUUGUUUCCCUUGUAUAAAUCUUGGAAUGUUAUUUUUUAUUUACAUGAUAAAAUGCAAUAACCUUUAAUAAUUGUUAACAUUUUAUGAAUAUUGAAUACCAGUAUCCCAUGUACAUAACUUGUACUCUUAAUUUUAAAACUCAAAUCAAUAGAUAUAGGAAGAUGUGGUGUGAGACUGUGAGUGCCAAUAAGACAACUCUCCAUCCAAAUAACAAUUUAUAAAAGUAAACCAAUAACCAUUUAAUAAAAUAACUGUGGUCUAAUAAUAUAUGAUAUUGAUAUACUAUUAACGUUUCCUCACAUUUACUGCUUUCGAGUGAUCUAAAAUAAAUCAUUUUUAUUUUAUCAAUGGAUUCAAUUAUGAAUUGUCAAAUGUUUGCCUUUGUUUGUAAACUGGAAAUCUUGUGGCUACUCUCAUAUCUAAAAUCUUCAAACUGU
This 2359-nucleotide long non-coding RNA is filed under the name Mytilus galloprovincialis (Mediterranean mussel). The record is from RNAcentral. Lineage: Eukaryota; Metazoa; Mollusca; Bivalvia; Mytilida; Mytilidae.